GACGAACGCUGGCGGCGUGCUUAACACAUGCAAGUCGAACGGAAAGGCCCUGCUUUUUUGGGGUGCUCGAGCGGCGAACGGGCGAGUAACACGUGAGUAACAUGCUCCUUACUUUGGGAUAACUUCAGGUAAAUGGGGCAAAUACCGGAUCGGAGCUCCUGAUGCAUGGUGGGGGUUGGAAAGUUUCGGCGGGUGGGGAUGGAUUCGCGGCUUAUCAGCUUGUUGGUGGGGGAGUGGCUUACCCAGGCUCUGACGGGUCGCCGGCCUGAGAGGGUGACCGGCCACAAUGGGACUGAGAGACGGCCCAGACUCCUACGUGAGGCAGCAGUGGGGAGUAUGGCACAAUGGGCGGAAGCGUAAGGCAGCAACGCCGGGGGUGUGAAGUCGGCCUUCGGGGUAGGAACCGCGUUCGCCUAAGACGAAGCGUGAUUGACGUUAAUGGGUAAAGAAGCACCGGCUAACUACGUG
Molecule: ribosomal RNA, 468 nt
Filed under: uncultured bacterium
Lineage: Bacteria
Description: partial 16S ribosomal RNA
Rfam family: Bacterial small subunit ribosomal RNA
Source: RNAcentral